RNA transcript from Homo sapiens (human), 1070 nucleotides. It is a transcript of the gene named formation of mitochondrial complex V assembly factor 1, with no coding region annotated. The transcript has 3 exons. The record is from RefSeq and is marked validated. NCBI's taxonomy places the organism in Eukaryota, Metazoa, Chordata, Mammalia, Primates, Hominidae.
GUGCGCGCGCCCGUUCAACGUCCGGAGCAUCGGUGCAGUUUCGAGGGUAAAGCCUUUGGCGCGGUGAUGUGGACUUUUGUUCUCUAACUACAACUCCCAGCAUACGUCACCCCUCACGUGGGCGCUAGGUGUGGUUUCGUGGGAUAGGCAGAGACAGGGUUUCACCGUGUUAGCCAGGAUGGUCUCGAUCCCCUGACCUUGUGAUCUGCCCGCCUCGGCCUCCCAAAGUGCUGGGAUUACAGGUCACCAGUGAAAAGUUGUGCAGAGCCCAACAUGAGCUUCAUUUCCAAGCUGCCACCUAUCUCUGCCUCCUGCGUAGCAUCCGGAAACAUGUGGCCCUACAUCAGGAAUUUCAUGGCAAGGGUGAGCGCUCGGUGGAGGAGUCUGCUGGCUUGGUGGGUCUCAAGUUGCCCCAUCAGCCUGGAGGGAAGGGCUGGGAGCCAUGAACAUGGAGAAUAUCCUUGGAUGCUGCAUUCAUAGGAGAAUUGAAUAAUUUCUAUCAAUAUGUAUUUAUCAUUAAAUUUUUUUUAAGUUUAAGGUUUUUCUCUGUAAUUUUGUUUACUAGUUCUUAGGGGAAUUAACUGGACAUUUCAUCUUUACUCUCAGUGAAUUUACUGAACUUUUUGCACUAGACUGAUGUUGUUUUUCUACUUAAAAAAAUUUUUUUAUAUUUUAUUUUAAAAGUAGUACAAGCCUUAGCCAGGCACGGUGGCUCACGCCUGUAAUCCCAGCACUUUGGGAGGCCAAGGCAGGCGGAUCACCUGAGGUUGGGAGUUCGCGACCAGCCUGACCAACAUGGAAAAACCCCGUCUCUACUAAAAAUACAAAAUUAGCCAGGCGUGGUGGCACAUGCCUGUAAUCCCAGCUACUCAGGAGGCUGGGACAGGAGAAUCGCUUGAACCCGGGAGGUGGAGGUUGCGAUGAGCUGAGAUCGCGCCAUGGCACUCACUCCAGCCUGGGCAACAAGAGCAAAACUCUGUCUCAAAAAAAAAAAAAAAAUUAGUAUAAGCCUUUUGUUUAAGGAAUUCAAAUGUUAUAAACAUAAAAUAAAAGAAACCCUCUUUUCCUUU